GGGGGAGUAGCUCAAGGGCAGAGCGGCCGGCUCAUAACCGGUUGGUUGCGGGUUCGAAUCCUGCCUCCCCCACCU
Molecule: transfer RNA, 75 nt
Filed under: Chloroflexota bacterium
Lineage: Bacteria; Bacillati; Chloroflexota
Description: Chloroflexi bacterium tRNA-Met
Rfam family: tRNA
About the family: Transfer RNA (tRNA) molecules are approximately 80 nucleotides in length. Their secondary structure includes four short double-helical elements and three loops (D, anti-codon, and T loops). Further hydrogen bonds mediate the characteristic L-shaped molecular structure. tRNAs have two regions of fundamental functional importance: the anti-codon, which is responsible for specific mRNA codon recognition, and the 3' end, to which the tRNAs corresponding amino acid is attached (by aminoacyl-tRNA synthetases). tRNAs cope with the degeneracy of the genetic code in two manners: having more than one tRNA (with a specific anti-codon) for a particular amino acid; and 'wobble' base-pairing, i.e. permitting non-standard base-pairing at the 3rd anti-codon position.
Source: RNAcentral